This 7451-nucleotide long non-coding RNA is filed under the name Lactuca sativa (garden lettuce). RNAcentral describes it as "long non-coding RNA (LSAT_LNC002711)". The record is from RNAcentral. Lineage: Eukaryota; Viridiplantae; Streptophyta; Magnoliopsida; Asterales; Asteraceae.
AUCCGAAUAGAGUGUGUAAGCUUGAGAAGUCCAUUUAUGGACUUAAGCAAGCGUCUCGCAGAUGGAAUCUUUGCUUCGAUGAGAAAGUCAAAGAGUUUGGAUUUGUACGAAGCGAAGACGAAUCUUGUGUAUAUGUCAAAGCCAGUGGGAGUAUAGUAAGCUUCCUCGUUCUAUAUGUCGAUGACAUAUUACUCAUAGGAAACGACAUCCCGACUCUGCAGGAGGUUAAGUCCUGGCUCGGGAAGUGCUUCGCUAUGAAGGACCUCGGAGAGGCUUCUUACAUUUUGGGAAUAAGGAUAGUAAGAGAAAGAAGUAAGAGACUAAUUGGACUUAGUCAGAAUACUUACUUAGAGAAGGUACUAAAACGUUUUAGUAUGGAAAACUCAAAGAAGGGAGAACUACCGAUACAAAGUAAUGCCAAAUUGAGUAAGACUCAAAGUCCGAGUACCGAAGCUGAGAUAGCAGAAAUGAGCCGAGUACCAUACGCUUCCGCAGUUGGCUCAAUCAUGUACGCUAUGACUUGUACUCGCCCUGAUGUAGCCUUCGCUUUGAGCAUGGUUAGCAGAUAUCAAGGGAAUCCUGGCAAAGCACAUUGGAUUGCGGUGAAGAAUAUCCUUAAGUACCUUCGGAGGACGAAGGAAUGGUUCUUAGUCCUCGGAGGGAGUGAUGACUUGAAGGUGCGAGGGUAUAGUGACGCCAGUUUUCAGACCGACAGGGACAACUACCGUUCGCAGUCGGGCUGGGUCUUUACCCUAAAUGGAGGAGCAGUGACAUGGAAGAGUUCCAAGCAGGAAACCGUAGCUGAUUCAACGUGCGAAUCAGAGUACAUUGCAGCGAGCGAAGCGUCGAAGGAGGCAAUAUGGCUAAAGAACUUCAUCGGUGAUCUUGGAGUCGUACCUGCCAUAAAGGAGCCAAUGGAGAUUUUCUGUGAUAACGAAGGUGCGGUUGCCUUAACCAAGGAACCGAGGGAUCAUGGUAGAUCAAGACAUAUCGACAGAAAGUAUCACUUCAUUAGACAUCGUGUAGAAGAAGGACAACUCGUAGUGAAGAGGAUAUCAUCAGAAGAUAACCCAGCAGAUCCGCUUACGAAGGGACUGAGUAGGGUUAAGCACUUGCAGCAUGCUAGGAGUAUUGGGCUGAAGGAUGAUAUUAGCAUAGAUUAGAUAGUAUUAGAAACGUGUAAUAGAUAAAUGUAAUUGACAUUUGAUGAUUAAAUAAAGGAGUUUUAUUUAUGAGUAAUGUUACUAUCUUAUGUUAAUUGUUUAGCUAUUGUUUCACUUUGCAUGUUUUGACUUCCAGAAUAAUUGAGUUUAUUAGGAAUAAUCGAAUUAUUCAAAUGGUCCACAAUCGUUCAUAUGUUGGGAGUAGAUAUGAAAGAAGAUUGUCAUGAAUUGGUGUGUAGAAUGUCUAAAUGGUGUUAGACAUAGCAAAGGAUUGCUGCAACGUUCAUGAGUGCUUAUGAACUAGUUUUGAGCAUUGGAAUAAACCCGCGCUUGCUGGAAUCACCUUAUGGAAUACGAUAUAAAAGGUGAUCGCAAGACGAUAAUAUCAUAUAGUCUUAAAACCUAGAUAUAUGGUUUAUUAUUUGUUAAUUGAUUGUACAUUGAUAAUACGAAAACGCAUCAGUAACUUGGUGUUAUAAAACGUAUUGUUGUGUAUAGUUGGUUAAUGAAUAAGUAAAUGCAUAUAAGUCGAAGUUUAUCUGUAACUUUUAUCUAAGAAGGUAAAAGCGAUAUCUCGGCCGCUCGAUGAUUUGAUUUGACUUAUGUGCCGGGCCCGGUCAGAACUGAAUUGAUGUGUUCGAUUAAGUUCUAUGUCAAAUAAAUCAGAGAUCGAGAAACCUAAAUGCUUGACUAACCAUUCCAUAGGAUUGUCAGCAUGAUAUCUAACAGAGGACUGUACGUUCCCUUAUCUAAAGGACAAGAUUGAUUAGAUCAGAGUUGACAGCGUCUUUGAGAGCUACGAUUGCAAACCGAAUUGUACUUGUAUAGUUACUAGACUUAUCCAAGUGGGAGACUGUUGGAAUAGUGUCUAAGGCUGUAACUAUAUCCGGUUGUGCAUGGUCCUUUUGGGUUGCCUUCACCAUAGCAACUUGAUAGGAUGAUUUAUUAAGAGAGAAUAAAUAUUAUUAAUAUAUUAUGGGAAUAAUAUAAUGAAUAAUAUAUUUGUUAUUUGAUUAAUAUAAGUCAUAGAAUUAAUUAGAAUUAAUUUGGUGACUUAAAGAGAUUAAUUAAAUAAAGGGGUAUAAACUGUCAAUUGUUUGAUAGUUAAGCUUUAAACUGUAAAUCCAUUUGGAUAUACUAUGGACGAAUUCUAAGAGGAUUAGGAUAGCUAAAAUCGUCCAUUAGAGUUAUCUAGGAAUGGAUUUGGAUAGCCUUAAGAGAAGAUUAUCUGAUAGGGACUUAUCUGUAAUCCUUAAGGAGUCUACAAGUAUAAAUAGACCCCAUGGCUGAUGGAAUUCGACACUUGACCUAAAGUAAGGAACCUCUGGUCGAAAUUCCUCCCCUCUCCUCUCUCCCAAAUCAUCCUCCUUGCUUUGGUGUUUGUAAGCCAUUAGAGGAGUGACAUUUGUGACUCUAGAAGCUCCAAGACCUCAAGAUCAACAAGGAACUCAAAGGUAUGAUUCUAGAUCUGUUUUAAUGUUCUUGUUUAACCUAAUUAGUAAUUAGAAGUCUUGGAUUCAAAGCAUGUUUAUUAGAAAGCCUAGAUCCAAGCAUUAGGGUUUUGCAUGCGCACAUAGGAAAGUUCUUAUGGCUAAAACCCAUCAGUGGUAUCAGAGCCUAGCUUGGUUUUCUGUAAAUUGUUGCUUGAUUAACUGAAACAAACCUGCAAAAUUCGAAUUUUUGGUUUCUGAGUCAUGGACUCGGCGAGUCUCAAAGUGGACUCGGCGAGUAGGCCUGACUCGGCGAGUCCAUUUGUGCACUCGGCGAGUCCAGGCGUCAGGAAUGGCCAGAUUCGGGAUUUCUUUGUGUUUAUCUUAUCUUAACUUACCAUAAACUAAUUAGAUCAACAUUAAUUCGUUUUUCUGAUAAAUAUAACUAUUAUCUUGAUCUAGUUAAAGGUAAUUAUCAACUAAUUAAAUAUUUAAUUUCCUUAUAUGAUAAUUAAUUAAUUAUUUUGAUUAUUUUGGUAAUUAUCUUUAAAAGAAAUCUUGAAUAAAUCAAAUAUAGAUAAUUAGGAUAUUAAUUGUUAAUUGGAAUUAUUUGUUAUUUGAUCCUCCAUGUUUUAAAUGUUUAAAACCUACCCUCAUGUUUUGAAAUUUACUUUUGUGAUUAAAAGUUUUAAUUUAGACAACUUAAAUUUCAAACCCUAGAUUUUAAAAGUUUUAAAAUACAACCCUAUACUAAUAUGAUAUUACUAGAAUAAUAUAUAUAUGUAUAACUAAAUGCUAGUCUUACCGUUAGUAGGCCUCAUUCACGAAGCCGAUCUAUAAGGUGGGUAUAAGGUUGCGGCCUAUAAAAUGGCGCUUAAUGGGUGUACACUCACACCCACCGCUUGCUUGAUUGGUGGAGGGUCGUUAGCCGAACGGGUAGGAUAGGGCAACCUCAUCCUCUCAUUAAAAGUAUAAUAAGAAAUAUAAAGUAACUACACAUUUUUUUAAAAUUUCCCAAUCCUAGUUACUUUAGGAAAAGUGAAUUGAUGCAAUCCCAUGAAAUUACACUUUGCACCUUGCUAAGAUGUUAGUGGAGCGUGUGUGGUUUACCGGCACACUAAUUGGUUCUAAGCGAAGGUGGCAAAGGGUGAUUCAUUGUUUAUCAUAGUUCGAUGGAGCGUGUGUGGUUUACCGGCACAUCGAAUAGGUGAUUGUUACAAUGAAGGCACCAUGUGAAUUUGCAUGGUAAUUCACACCCGCUUUGUGAUCCUCGGCAUCCCAGUCACAAACAAGAGGGGCAUAUCGAGAUUUAAACAUGCCAUUGAAUAGUUUCAAUGAAUCUCAUCCGAACCUAGGAAUUCUCAAAAACACUUAGGACUAAUAGUUUAAGUUUUGUGAUGGAGAAUUAGUGAAUCGUCAUUCACUUACCUUCAAUUUAUUUGCAUGUUAGAUUACGGCAUCCCUUUUCUAGUAUGUAAAUGUUAUUGUUGGAUCCUAGCCCUAAUUUUCUUAUUGGGUGAUAAUUAGGGAUUCUUAUUCUAAUCUAUCUUUGUCCUUUUCUAAUUGUAGAUGUCGAACGCAAACAACGCUGCUGCUAGUUCUUUCACGUUGAUGAGCCUUUGCCAAAAGGUCACCUUCGAUGGAACGAACUUUAGCGAAUGGAUAAGAUACAUUCGCACCAUUGCUCGCUAUGAGGAUAAGGAGUAUGUCCUCGAUGAGAAGCUCGAGAAAAUCAACCCCGAAAUUGCUACUCCCGCCGAAAUCACCGCCUUUGAAACUCAUGAGCGAGAUGCAACGAAGGUACAUUGCAUCAUGAUCGCCACCAUGAACUCCGAAUUCCAAAAGUCCUACGAGGACAUGUACCCGUACGAGAUGCAUCAAGACUUAUUGGAGAGGUACCACCAAAACGCGAGACAAGAGAGGUACGAGAUUUUCACUAACAUGAUUUCCGCGAAGAUGGGUCAUGGAGAAUCUCUUACCGUGCACUUGCAAAAGAUGCAAAGGUAUGUUGACCGCCUCCGCAAGUUAAAUGUUGACUUCGGUGAAGACUUGGCGAUCGACAUGGUGCUUCACUCUUUGCCUCCGAUGUACAACCAAUUUAGGAUGACCUACCACAUGAACAAAGAAGAGGUCACCCUAAGCAAGCUCCAAGGUCUCUUGAGGGUUGCUGAGAGCAACUUCAAAGACAAGUCUGUUGCACCUACUCCCAAUCCGCCCGCUGCUCCUGUCUUGGCUAUUGGACAAGGGAAGGGAAAGAAGAGGAAAGCUUCAUCGAAGAACUAUCGCAAGGUGAAAGCCCGAGAUGGUGCCUCUUCUAGUGGGACCAAAGUUGAUCCCGCCAAGCCCUGCUCUAACCCGAAGGAGGCAGAGUGCCACCACUGCCACAAGAUAGGACAUUGGAAGAGAAGCUGCCCGGAUUACCUGCAAGCAAUCAAAGAAGGAAAGAUCAAGCCAUCUUUCGCAGGUAUAUAUACAAUCAAAUCUAACGAUUCUAAUCAUGCUAUUUCUUGGGUUCUUGAUACCGGUUGUGGUUAUCACAUUUGUUCUAAUGUGCAGGGACUAAGAAGAAGUAGGGAUGUGGAGCAAGGAAGGAUCAAUCUAAUCAUGGGGAACAGAAGAUCGUCGCCUGUGACCAAGAUUGGAGUGUAUUCCUUAGUGCUUAGGAAUAGUUUAGUUUUAGAUUUGAACAAUUGUUGCUAUUCGCCAGAAAUGGCAAGAAACAUCAUUUCAUUUCAUGGUUUAUAUAGACAAGGAUUUAGAUUUUCUUUUAAUAAUGAGAAUGGUUCUAUUUUGGCUUAUCUAAAUGGUGUCUUUUACUUUGAAGCUAUACCAUGUAAUGGAAUAUAUGAAACCGUUAUGAUUGUUGAUAACUUAGGAAAUGAUGUUUUGAAUAUUGAUUCUUCCACUAGUAUGGAUAAAGCAUCCUUGUGGCAUUGUCGUCUUGGACAUGUCAACAAGAAACGCAUAGCCCAACUCCAAAAGGAUGGAGUGUUGGAGUCAUUCGACCUUAGGGAAGAUGACACAUGCGAGUCUUGUUUGCUUGGAAAGAUGACUAAGUCACCCUUCACGAGUACAUGUGAAAGGGGCGAGGGUCUAUUGGACCUAAUACAUACCGAUGUAUGUGGACCGUUUAGAUCAACCACGAAGGAUGGGAACCGCUUCUAUGUGACUUUUACCGAUGACUAUAGUAGAUAUGGGUAUAUCUACUUAAUCAAGCAAAAGUCAGAAACCUUUGAAAAGUUCAAAGAGUUCAAGAAUGAAGUGGAGAAUCAAUUGGGCAGGAAAAUCAAGAUGCUUCGAUCCGAUCGAGGAGGAGAGUACCUAAGUCUUGAAUUCCACGAUUAUCUCAAGGAGUGUGGAAUAGUUUCGCAAUUGACGCCUCCUAGGACACCGCAGUUGAAUGGUGUGGCAGAAAGGCGUAAUCGAACCUUAUUGGAUAUGGUUCGCUCUAUGAUGAGUCGUGCUUCACUACCAAUCUCUUUUUGGGGGUAUGCCUUAGAGACUGCCGCCCAUAUCCUUAACCGAGUCCCUACUAAGAAGGUUGCCAAAACACCUCACGAGAUGUGGACAGGGAAAGCUCCCUCGUUGGCACAUAUCAAGGUUUGGGGUUGCGAGGCUUUCGUAAGACGAGAUACUCACGACAAGCUUGAACCUCGAAGUGAGCGAUGUAUUUUCAUCGGCUACCCGCAGACAUCCUUUGGAUAUCUCUUCUAUAGACCGAAGGACAAUGUUGUCUUCGUUGCGAGGAGAGGAGUUUUCCGAGAGCGAGAACUCAUAAGCCAAGGAGACAGUGGGAGGCAAAUCGAGCUUGAAGAGAUUCAAGAGUCGAUAGAUGAAGGAACCUCUACCGCUGGCACUCAACCCGAGGAGGAAACUCCGGUUGAACCGAUUGACGAAUCCUUACCUCUUAGACGUUCCGAUAGAGUUAGAGUUCUACCCCAGUUUUAUGGUUUUCAUAUUACUACCGAAGGGGACACGUAUAUUAGUGAUGGUACACUAAUAAAUCUUGAUGAACCUAAUAGCUAUAAGGAAGCCAUGGCAGGCCCGGAGUCUGCAAAAUGGAAAGAGGCAAUGGAUAGCGAGAUCCAAUCCAUGUAUGAUAACCAAGUUUGGAAUUUGGUUGAUUAUGUGCCCGGACGUAAGACCGUUGGGUGCAAAUGGAUCUUCAAGAAGAAGACCGACGUGGAUGGAAACGUACACACAUAUAAAGCGCGAUUGGUUGCGAAGGGCUUUACUCAAACUCCCGGAGUUGACUAUGAUGAGACCUUCUCACCAGUUGCGAAGAUUAAAUCUAUUAGAGUGAUGCUAGCAAUUGCCGCAUUUCAUGAUUAUGAGAUUUGGCAAAUGGAUGUCAAGACCGCUUUCCUUAACGGGAAGUUGGCUGAGGAUGUUUACAUGGCUCAGCCAGAGGGGUUUGUGGAUCCGAAGCAUCCGAAUAGAGUGUGUAAGCUUGAGAAGUCCAUUUAUGGACUUAAGCAAGCGUCUCGCAGAUGGAAUCUUUGCUUCGAUGAGAAAGUCAAAGAGUUUGGAUUUGUACGAAGCGAAGACGAAUCUUGUGUAUAUGUCAAAGCCAGUGGGAGUAUAGUAAGCUUCCUCGUUCUAUAUGUCGAUGACAUAUUACUCAUAGGAAACGACAUCCCGACUCUGCAGGAAGUUAAGUCCUGGCUCGGGAAGUGCUUCGCUAUGAAGGACCUCGGAGAAGCUUCUUACAUUUUGGGAAUAAGGAUAGUGAGAGAAAGAAGUAAGAGACUAAUUGGACUUAGUCAGAACACUUUCUUAGAGAAGGUACUGAAACGUUUUAGUAUGGAAAACUUAAAGAAGGGAGAAUUACCGAUACAAAGUAAUGCCAAUUUGAGUA